RNA transcript from Dunckerocampus dactyliophorus (ringed pipefish), 4640 nucleotides. It is a transcript of the gene named telomerase reverse transcriptase, with no coding region annotated. NCBI's taxonomy places the organism in Eukaryota, Metazoa, Chordata, Actinopteri, Syngnathiformes, Syngnathidae. The record is from RefSeq and is a predicted model, not a curated record. The transcript is spliced from 17 exons.
CUUCUUCCUGCGUUUUCAUUUGCUAAGACCGACCAACGCGGGUCCUUCAAGGAGCUGUGUCAACUUGUCAUGGCCUGUUUGUAAAACUUUUAAACUUGAAUGAUGCAACAAGAAUGUCUUCAGAUGAUAUGUCCCGAGUUCUCGACACACUACGUUCUCUUUAUGGCCAUUUAAAGACAUUGGAGGAGUUUACGGACGGAGUUGUGUUCCGAGAUGGACAGAGAGCAGUUCUCGUACAACAGACGGACACAAACCGCUUCAAAACGUUCGUACGGAACGUUUUUGUUUGCUACGACAAGGAGCUACAGCAAGUGCCAAGCAGACACCAGAUCUGCACAUUAUCGGAGCUACUGGCCUUCGUUCUCAACAGCCUGAAAAGAAAGAAGAAACGAAACAUCUUAGCACACGGCUAUAAUCCGCGGAGUGUGGCUCAGGAGCAGCGUGACGCUGACCACUUCAAAUUCCAAGGGGAUGUCAGUCAAAGUGCCGCCUACAUCCACGGCAGCGACCUGUGGAACAAAGCAACCGUGCGCCUCGGCACUGACCUCACACGCUACCUGCUGGAGAGCUGCUCUGUGUUCAUGGCGGUCCCUCCUUCGUGUGCCUUCCAGGUGUGCGGUGCUCCUGUUUAUGACCGGGUCUCCAUGACGACAGUUCCCUCUGUGUUUUCCCUCCAGGCUCGAUCCAGAACUCAUCGUAAUACUGUGGCUGUGAAAAGGAAACGUGAUGCCAGGAGUAAGAAAAAAAAGCGCAGAAGGUCGGUGAUGAUGCGGAGCAGGAAAAGGAGGAGAGAGGAAGAAGAGAUGUCUGUUUCUCGAAAGAGGAGACGGGAGGGAGAGCAUGAAGCCACACAAACGGCAGCAAAAGUGUCCUUGAAGCCUAUGGAAAGCAGCUCUGAACAAGAAGCUGAAACAAGCACAACUCCUUUAGAAGGAGGUCCUAGUUGGAGGUCAGGGACUUUCCCCCCCUUGCCUCCCACGCAGUGCUUUAUACGCACCCUUGCGUUGCUCUAUGGCGGCAGGGGCAUGCGUAGUUUUCUUCUCAACAGGAAGAAAAAGGGAUUUGGAAGACUGCAAGGUCAGGAUUUGGUAAGAGUAGUCUUCUUUGAGGGACUGGCGUACCUCAGUGGGUUCAGGAGAAAACCAAAGAAGCUCCCCCAGCGCUUCUUUAACAUGAUCCCCCUUUUUAGCCAACUGUUGCGUCAACACAGGAGGUGUCCCUACCGCCGGAUACUGCAGAGGAUGUGCCCUCUAGUGGAGAGAGAUGUAGCAAAAGAGGAGUUAAGCUCACUUUUGCCCCAACAUUGUGCACCUCACCGGGUGUACCUGUUUGUAAGGGAGUGCCUGUGUGCUGUUGUCCCAUUGGAGUUUUGGGGUUCAGAGGAAAACCGGUGCCAUUUUUUGGCACGUGUUCGAGGCUUCUUGCGCAGCAGCAAGUUUGACAAAGUUUCACUUGCUGAGCUGAUGUGGAAAAUAAAGGUGAAUGACUGUGAUUGGUUGAAGAUCAGCAAGAAAGGUGAGACUGCGCUUAAAACACCGGGGAAACCCCUCUUUAUUUUUUUGACUCCCCCCCUGCUUUGGCUGUUUGCAGGUGGGAUCCCGCCCAGUGAGCUCGCGUAUCGGACUCGGGUACUCGGUCAGCUGCUCGCUUGGCUUCUAGAUGGCUACGUGGUUAGCCUGGUACGAGCAUGUUUCUACGUCACAGAGGGUGUAGCUCAAAAGAACGCCCUGAGGUUCUACAGGCAAGAGGUUUGGGCCAAGCUGCAGGACCUGGCCUUCAGAGGUCAUGUCUCUAAGGGGCAGAUGAAGGAGUUAACUCCGACUCAGGUGGAAUCACUGCCUAAAAGCACUGUCGUCUCCCAUGUGCGCUUUAUCCCAAAGACUGAUAGCAUGAGGCCCAUCACUCGAGUUUUGGGAGCAGACGCCAAGACCAGGCUCUUACGAGGGAAUGUGCGUGAUUUGAGAGAUAUACUGCGGGUUUGUGUGCGGGCCAAUCCAUCCCUGCUGGGAUCCACAGUGUGGGGGAUGACUGACAUCCAUAAGGUUUUAUCCACUCUUGCGCCAACCCAGAAAGAGAAGCCACAGCCCCUCUUCUUUGCUAAGGUGGAUGUCAGCGGAGCGUUUGACAGUCUGCCUCAUGACAAACUUCUCAAUGUGAUUAGCCAUGCACUAUCACCUGUCCAAGACGAGCCCUUUAACAUACGCAGCUAUGCCAAGAUCUGGAUGGACUCCCACGAGGGCCUGAGGAAGUCCUUUGUGAGACAGGCUGACUUCCUAGAUGAUGCCAGGGGCUCUGCCAACAUGAAGAGCUUUGUGACAGCGCUGCAAAGAAGCGGCGGAGCUCAUCAUGCCAUAUUGGUGGAGCAGCACCUGUCCACAGAUGUUAAUGGAAAAGAGGUGUUUGAGUUCUUCACCCAAAUGUUGACAGGCAGCAUUUUACAGUUUGGGAAGAAAACAUACCGUCUGUGUCGCGGGAUUCCUCAGGGGUCCGUUGUGUCCGGUUUGCUCUGCUGUCUGUGCUACGGUCACAUGGAGAACGCUCUGUUCAAAGGCAUGAUCGGAAGCAAAGGACGAUUGAUGAGGCUGGUGGAUGACUUCCUUCUGAUCACGCCUGACCUCCACGAGGCACAGAACUUUAUCAAAGUCUUGCUCACCGGCGUCCCCCAGUAUGGCCUGGUCAGCAACCGGCAGAAGGUGGUGGUCAACUUUCCACUGUGGGAUGACAUGGUUUCCUGCGCCGGCAUCCGCACGCUACCCGCCCACUGCCUCUUCCCCUGGUGCGGCUUGCUGCUGGACACGCACUCACUCGACGUCCAUAAAGAUUAUUCCAGCUACGCAGGCCUAUCUCUGCGUUACAGCCUCACCCUGGGAUCUUUCCACUCAGCCGGAGAGCAAAUGAGGAGAAAGCUGAUGGUGAUCCUCAGACUCAAGUGCCAAGCCCUCUUCUUGGACCUGAAGACAAAUUCCCUGGCGGUGGUCUACAAGAACAUCUACAAGUUGGUGCUGCUACAUGCAUUCAGAUUCCAUGUGUGUGCACAGAGUUUACCCUUUGGCCAAACGGUUGCUAAGAACCCCGUCUACUUCCUGCAGAUGAUAUGGAGAAUGGCCCACUACACCAAUCAGCUCCUCAGGCGUAGCAACAAAGGCUGCAAGGCCCAAACUGGCAUUGUGCCGUACGAGGCAGUGGAGUUGCUUUUCUGCUUUUCCUUCUUGCUGGUGUUGUCGCAGCAUCGCCCCAUCUACAAGGAGAUGCUGCCCCAGCUGCAGAAGCGGAAGCGUAGUCUGGAGCGCCGUCUGGGGGAUUUGAGGCUUGCCCAAUUGAGACAAGCCGCCAGCCCAAGGACCCCUGUGGAGUUUUUGGCCAUCACAAUGUAAGAGUGUCAGCUCACCUAAAUAGAAAAUGACCCUCAGCAGCUUAAAGAUCAUCAACCAGGCGCAGGCCAGGCAGACCACCAGCCACCACUGCAGAGAACCACUGGUCUCGAUGUCAGUUGUGAUGUUCAGCGUCUGACGGUACCAGAAGUAAUUGACUGGAGUGCUCUUCUCACAUUCUGCAUCAAAGCCUGCCAGGUGAGGUGACGCACCGACUCCACCCAGAAAAGGUGAAAUGGACUUCCAGACGCCGAUGCUUCCCUUGCGCAGCCUCUGUCCUAUGGCCAUCUCCAGGUAGAGCAGUGGGAGACCUUCAAACGCCAGCGCUAACAGGUAGGGGAUGAGGAACGCUCCUGAAGAUGUAAACAUUUCACACAAAAUAACCCUAAAUCAGCAUGGGUCAAAUCUGUGCAAAUAUGUGAAGUUGAUAAAGCUGAUAACCCUGCUGAACUUCAGCGUGAUUCAAUGUUUGUUCAGCUUGACCUUCACGGACAGCUAUGAGGAAGUGAAUCGGCUGGGAGGGGAGGGGGAGCUGCACAACUUAACAACACAAACAUGGGACGUAUAAAAAAAACAAAAAGCAAGCAUAUACAGAAUAUCCAACUCACCUCCUCCAUAGAUUUGGCACAAGUACGGAAAACGCCAGACGUUCCCAAUUCCCACCGCAAAGCCGAUGGAGGUCAGCAUGUACUGGAUCUUGUUGUCCCAUUUGACUUCCUCCUCCACGGCUCCUUUAGUUUUGGACAUCUUGAGCUGGCCAGCAGAUGAGGCGCAAUCCCACACUCGUUGCACAAGUGCCUUAAUUGGAACAUAAAAAUGAGCUGCGCUCCUUGAGUGUGGCCGUCUUGAAUGUGUGGGGAUGGUCUCUUUAUCAGUCUUCCCCUCCCCUGGGGGUUGUCCUUCAGUAUCCUAUCACCAGCCUCCACUCAGGGAUCCAAUUUACUGCUUUGGAUGGCAUUUACUUUUUUUUUUUUUUUUCUAUAAUAAUAAAAAAAUCCCUCAGAUAAGUCGUUUUCUUUUUAAACAGCGUUUGGCAAUGGCGCACUUAACAAAAGGCACCAUACAGUUCAAAUACCAAACUUAUGAAGCCACGUUCAAGCUAAAUAAAAAUGCCAAAAUGACACAAGUCACCAGGAAAUGUAUGAUGGUUUAGUGGCUAAAACUUUUCUGCUUGUUUAAGAUACUAGUGUGCUAGCUCAGUCGCUGUUUAAUGGAUAACCAGUGAUGCCGUGUCCACGUUACGCUGACCUCGAUCACGAUGAUGCAAAA